UACGAAGGGUGCAAGCGUUACUCGGAAUUACUGGCGUAAAGCGUGCGUAGGUGGUGCGUUAAGUCUGUCGUGAAAGCCCCGGGCUCAACCUGGGAAUGGCGAUGGAUACUGGCGCGCUAGAGUGCGGUAGAGGAGAGUGGAAUUCCCGGUGUAGCAGUGAAAUGCGUAGAGAUCGGGAGGAACAUCAGUUGCGAAGGCGGCUCUCUGGACCAGCACUGACACUGAGGCACGAAAGCGUGGGGAGCAAACAGG
RNAcentral lists this ribosomal RNA (252 nucleotides) under uncultured bacterium. RNAcentral's name for it is "partial 16S ribosomal RNA". It matches the Rfam family "Bacterial small subunit ribosomal RNA", at positions 524 to 776 of the family's 1533-position model. The record is from RNAcentral.